RNAcentral lists this ribosomal RNA (914 nucleotides) under Psychrobacter sp. 1-7-1. Its description in RNAcentral is "partial 16S ribosomal RNA". It matches the Rfam family "Bacterial small subunit ribosomal RNA", at positions 353 to 1252 of the family's 1533-position model. The record is from RNAcentral. Lineage: Bacteria; Pseudomonadati; Pseudomonadota; Gammaproteobacteria; Moraxellales; Moraxellaceae.
UGGGGGAANUUUUGNACAAUGGGNGAAAGCCUGAUGCAGCCAUGCCGCGUGUGUGAAGAAGGCCUUNNGGUUGUAAAGCACUUUCAGUUGUGNGGAAAGGUGGUAGUUUAAUAUNCUNUCACUGUGACGUUAACAACAGAANAAGCACCGGCUAACUUNGUGCCAGCAGCCGCGGUAAUACNAGGGGUGCAAGCGUUAAUCGGAAUUACUGGGCGUAAAGGGAKCGUAGGYGGYUCGAUUUAAGUCAAGAUGUGAAAKCCCMGGGCUCAACCUKGGAACUGCAUUYUGAUACUGUKGUARCUAGAGUACUGUGAGAGGRWGGURGAAUUUCCAGGUGUAGCGGUGAAAUGCGUAGAGAUCUGGAGGAAUACCGAUGGCGAAGGCAGCCUUCUGGCAUAAUACUGACACUGAGGCUCGAAAGCGUGGGUAGCAAACAGGAUUAGAUACCCUGGUAGUCCACGCCGUAAACGAUGUCUACUAGUCGUUGGGUCCCUUGAGGACUUAGUGACGCAGCUAACGCAAUAAGUAGACCGCCUGGGGAGUACGGCCGCAAGGUUAAAACUCAAAUGAAUUGACGGGGGCCCGCACAAGCGGUGGAGCAUGUGGUUUAAUUCGAUGCAACGCGAAGAACCUUACCUGGUCUUGACAUAUCUAGAAUCCUGCAGAGAUGCGGGAGUGCCUUCGGGAAUUAGAAUACAGGUGCUGCAUGGCUGUCGUCAGCUCGUGUCGUGAGAUGUUGGGUUAAGUCCCGCAACGAGCGCAACCCUUGUCCUUAGUACCAGCGGGUAAGCCGGGAACUYUAAGGAUACUGCCAGUGACAAACUGGAGGAAGGCGGGGACGACGUCAAGGCAUCAUGGCCCUUACGACCAGGGCUUACACACGUGCUUACAAAUGGUAGGGUACAGAGGGGCAG